This 785-nucleotide unclassified non-coding RNA is filed under the name Hevea brasiliensis (rubber tree). Lineage: Eukaryota; Viridiplantae; Streptophyta; Magnoliopsida; Malpighiales; Euphorbiaceae. The record is from RNAcentral.
AGAGGGUUGGUCCGACCGCCCUUUUCAUUCCCUACCGUUAGAUCUAGGGUUUCACCAUGGCCGAAGUCGAGUACCGGUGCUUCGUCGGCGGCCUCGCCUGGACUACUACCGACCGCUCCCUCGGGGACGCCUUCAGCAAGUUCGGCGAUGUCCUCGAGUGUAAGAUCAUCAACGAUCGGGAAACCGGGAGGUCUCGUGGGUUCGGAUUUGUGACGUUCUCCAACGAGCAGUCGAUGAGGGAUGCGAUCGAGGCGAUGCAUGGUCAGAACCUCGACGGGAGGAGUAUCACUGUCAAUGAGGCGCAGUCUCGCGGCGGGGGUGGCGGCGGCGGUGGAUCUCGGGGCAGCGGUGGCGGGGGUUAUGGCGGCGGCGGUGGCUCGUAUGGCGGCGGCGGUGGAUCCUAUGGCGGUGGUGGUGGACGGCGUGAUGGAGGCGGCGGCGGCGGGUAUGGUGGCGGUGGGGGCUAUGGCGGUGGUGGCGGUGAGGGAUAUGGAGGAGGUGGCGGGUAUGGCGGUGGCCGGCGUGAUGGAGGUGGUGGCGGUGGCUACAGCAGCCGUAGCGGCGGUGGUUCGUCUGACGGCAACUGGAGGAGCUGAUCAUGUUGCUGGUAUCUUUUUCUUAGGGCUUGAGCUGUUGGUUUGAAUUUGUCUUGCUUUGUUAAAUUAGUUGUGGUCUGCUGCUGAGUAUAGUCUCGUUAUGUCUCGAACGAGAACCUGGGAGAAUAUGGUGUGGUUUUUGACCUGGUGAAAUGAAACAAAUCUAGGUUGCGUGAAUUUUGAUUCGAU